CCUACGGGUGGCAGCAGUGAGGAAUAUUGGUCAAUGGGCGUAAGCCUGAACCAGCCAAGUCGCGUGAGGGAUGAAGGUUCUCUGGAUCGUAAACCUCUUUUAUAAGGGAAUAAAGGGCUGGACGUGUCCCGUUUUGUAUGUACCUUUUGAAUACGGAUCGGCUAAAUCUGUGCCAGCAGCCGCGGUAAUACGGAGGUUCCGAGCGUUAUCCGGAUUUAGUGGGUUGAAAGGGUGCGUAGGCGGCCGUUUAAGUCAGCGGUGAAAGUCUGUGGCUCAACCAUAGAAUUGCCGUUGAAACUGGGAGGCUUGAGUAUGUUUGAGGCAGGCGGAAUGCGUGGUGUAGCGGUGAAAUGCUUAGAUAUCACGCAGAACCCCGAUUGCGAAGGCAGCCUGCCAAGCCAUGACUGACGCUGAUGCACGAAAGCGUGGGGAUCAAACAGGAUUAGAUACCCUGGUAGUC
This 460-nucleotide ribosomal RNA is filed under the name uncultured bacterium. Its description in RNAcentral is "partial 16S ribosomal RNA". It matches the Rfam family "Bacterial small subunit ribosomal RNA", at positions 338 to 795 of the family's 1533-position model. The record is from RNAcentral.